This is a long non-coding RNA of Lathyrus oleraceus (garden pea), 1649 nucleotides long. RefSeq lists it as uncharacterized. The transcript is spliced from 2 exons. Lineage: Eukaryota; Viridiplantae; Streptophyta; Magnoliopsida; Fabales; Fabaceae. The record is from RefSeq and is a predicted model, not a curated record.
GAACAGGUACGACUUCCGCUUCUCACCGAUUCAGAUGUCCUUACCUUCUUAUCCCUUCGUGUGAUUCAUUAUGAACUGGUGGUUGUUAAUCGAUUCUGAUGGCGAUUCACCUCUGUUGCAGAAACAGUGAUGAAGGCGCUGCUGCAGAAGAAUGAAGAAGCAGUUGAAGAAGACUCGUGAUGACAAUGAAGGUGAAGCAGAGAGAGCCUUCUCAAUUGCAGACCGAUGAGGAAGGAUGAAGGUGAAGCAGAGAAGAAGAUUGAAGGUUCUGUUUGGAGCGUGGAGAUGAAAAAGAAUGAUCGAAAAGUGAAUAGAAAGUGAAGAGGAAAUGAGAUUCGAGCUUUUUUGCAUCGUAAGGUUUUUCUCUGAGAUUUUGCCGGGUGUUUACAUAGUAAUUGGGUUAAGCUGAAAGUCGAUAUAGAAAACAACACCAGUUGCAUUAUGGUUCCUGGCUGUUUCAGCCGCUCGUUUGAUUGCGGAAAUGCCAAGCACAAAUCGUUUGAUUGCAUCUUGACACUCACCAACCUACAUAUCAUCAACGACUAUUAUGUCAUCAGUUUGUAGAGUUUGUUUCCAUUCGCAUCAUGUGUAAGUCCAACUCCAAGUAUGGUAAGGAUGCAAUGUAUAUUGUUAGUAUGAAUGUGAGUUUUGAUCUCUCGUUAUUGUAUGGCCAUGUUAGCUAUUGCGUGCUGAAAAUUAUUGCUUGGCUUUGUAGGAUGGUAGAUUUGGCGUUUGUGAAUUCGGUUACCAAUUGUGGAGUUUGUUUGUGUUGUUAAUUGGAGCAUAUUAAUCAAUGGUCCUGUUAAUGAGAAUUCUAUUAAUGACUAUGCACUACUAUUAUUCUGUUAGGUUAAUUUCUUCGAAAUUCCUGUUAACUGAAAAAAAGCAUUACUGUUUGUAGAUAUCUAUUAUGCUCUUAAAGAGUUAGUUAUCACCUAUGUUAACCUUAAAGUUAGUUAUGGUUAGUUUUAGAUUCAGUUAAGAUGAAGUUUUGUUAAAAUGAAAAAUGGUGACAUUUUGCCCUGUUGGUUGUUAGGAUAAUUCGAGUUAGAAUGUUAGUUAAUUAGAUCGUGAUUUAAUUAAAUGAAAUUUUGUCACAUUGAAAUUUAUGUUAUGGGCACUUAUUGACAUACUCUUUGCUGUUGUUGCAUUGUUGAUGGAUCGUGAAUGCUGCAAUUGGGUUGUCUGGUUUCCACUUGCAGCAAUUGGCGCAUGAUGUGGUCGAUUUGGACGGUUAUGAGUUGCAGUUCAAACUAAAACUUCUUUUGUUGCUGCUGCUUGUUUAUGCCUUGUGGUGUCAAUUUGCAGGUUUCAAAGUGAAUGUAUCAUGCAAGUGGACGAGUGAUCGAAACCAAGUGUUAAGCAAGAGCUUCGAAAAUGAUCGUGUUGCUGUCAACAUGGCCUAUAUGGAAUCGAUUUACGAAGUUAUUAUUACUGGAUUAGCUUUGCAGGUCAGAAAUGAGUGAAGGUGAGAUAUGGGUUAGUUAGCGAGAGUUAAUUGGAAUCGGAUUUUGGUUUGAGGAUUUGUUUGAUCAAAUUGUAGAAAUUAUAAUUGAUAUUAGUAUAGGACAUUUGUAUUAUAAAUGAGAUUAAAUAUGUAUGGAUUAUGAAAUGAAAGUUACAAUGAACAUUGGAUAUCAAAAGUUGAA